RNAcentral lists this ribosomal RNA (440 nucleotides) under uncultured bacterium. Its description in RNAcentral is "bacterial SSU rRNA". It matches the Rfam family "Bacterial small subunit ribosomal RNA", at positions 91 to 518 of the family's 1533-position model. The record is from RNAcentral.
UAGAGCGGCGGACGGGUGAGUAACACGUGGACAAUCUGCCCCCCGGCCCGGGAUAGCCCAGGGAAACCUGGAUUAAUACCGGAUGAGACGGGACCCGCGAUGGCGGGACCCGGGAAAGGCGCUGCGGCGCCGCCGGGGGAUGAGUCUGCGUCCCAUUAGCUAGACGGCGGGGUAACGGCCCACCGUGGCGACGAUGGGUAGCCGGCCUGAGAGGGUGGACGGCCACAUUGGAACUGAGACACGGUCCAGACUCCUACGGGAGGCAGCAGCUAAGAAUCUUCCGCAAUGGGCGAAAGCCUGACGGAGCGAACCGCCGCGUGAACGAAGAAGGCCGUGAGGUUGUAAAGUUCUUUCGGAGGGGGAACAACCGUGGCAGGGAAUGGCCGCGGGAUGACGUGAAUCCCGGAAUAAGCCCCGGCUAACUACGUGCCAGCCGCGGC